RNAcentral lists this transfer RNA (69 nucleotides) under Rattus norvegicus (Norway rat). It matches the Rfam family "tRNA". Rfam says of the family: Transfer RNA (tRNA) molecules are approximately 80 nucleotides in length. Their secondary structure includes four short double-helical elements and three loops (D, anti-codon, and T loops). Further hydrogen bonds mediate the characteristic L-shaped molecular structure. tRNAs have two regions of fundamental functional importance: the anti-codon, which is responsible for specific mRNA codon recognition, and the 3' end, to which the tRNAs corresponding amino acid is attached (by aminoacyl-tRNA synthetases). tRNAs cope with the degeneracy of the genetic code in two manners: having more than one tRNA (with a specific anti-codon) for a particular amino acid; and 'wobble' base-pairing, i.e. permitting non-standard base-pairing at the 3rd anti-codon position. The record is from Rfam by way of RNAcentral. Lineage: Eukaryota; Metazoa; Chordata; Mammalia; Rodentia; Muridae.
GGGGAUUUAGCUCAGUGGUAGAGCACUUGCCUAGCAAGUGGAAGGCCCUGGGUUCGGUCCCCAGCUCCA